UACGUAGGAUGCAAGCGUUGUUCGGAAUUACUGGGCGUAAAGAGUACGUAGGCGGUUUGAUAAGUCUGAUAUUAAAGACUGGGGCUUAACCUCAGGAAUGUAUCGGAGACUGUCAGACUAGAGGACAAUAGAGGAAGUCGGAAUUCUCAGUGUAGCGGUGAAAUGCGUAGAUAUUGGGAAGAACACCAGUGGCGAAAGCGGAACUUCUGGGUUG
This 214-nucleotide ribosomal RNA is filed under the name uncultured bacterium. Its description in RNAcentral is "partial 16S ribosomal RNA". It matches the Rfam family "Bacterial small subunit ribosomal RNA", at positions 524 to 736 of the family's 1533-position model. The record is from RNAcentral.